UUAUUUCUUGUAUUUGAUUCAGACACAAAGACUGAUUAAGGCAAAAAGGCGGCGCCCGAGGGCACCGAAGCACGUCUUGCUUCCACAGGUUUGCAAGGUUGAAGGCCAUACGGCCAUUCAGUAAUGAUCCCUCCGCAGGUUCACCUACGGAGA
This 153-nucleotide unclassified non-coding RNA is filed under the name uncultured fungus. Its description in RNAcentral is "sequence contains ITS1". Lineage: Eukaryota; Fungi. The record is from RNAcentral.